UAUAACCAAUCACCACGGAAUAAAAAUACGACCCACGAUAGGUAAAAUGAAACAUAACAGCCGGAAAUUAACCAUUCGGCAAUGAAUCAUCCCAUCAGGAAUAGCUCAUUACAUCAUCUAUAGUUACUUGGAUAACGACAGUAAUCAUAGAUAUCAGUCAUACAUCAACACCCAAUACAUGGCUGAAUGUUAGUACAUGAAGGAAUGAAACCAAUACAGAAUGUCGGAUCUGGUUUUGCGGUGAAUCAUAAUAACUAAACGAAUCGCAUGGCUUUAUGCCGACGAUGAAUCAUUCAAAUUUCUGCCCUAUCAACUGUCGACGGUAGGAUAGAGGCCUACCAUGGCGUUCACGGGUGACGGAGAAUUAGGGUUCGAUUCCGGAGAGGGAGCCUGAGAGACGGCU
This 403-nucleotide ribosomal RNA is filed under the name uncultured eukaryote. Its description in RNAcentral is "bacterial SSU rRNA". The stretch from base 70 to 403 matches the Rfam family "Eukaryotic small subunit ribosomal RNA", at positions 47 to 408 of the family's 1831-position model. The record is from RNAcentral.